GACGAACGCUGGCGGCGUGACUAAUACAUGCAAGUAGAACGCUGAAGGAGGAGCUUGCUUCUCUGGAUGAGUUGCGAACGGGUGAGUAACGCGUAGGUAACCUGCCUGGUAGCGGGGGAUAACUAUUGGAAACGAUAGCUAAUACCGCAUAAUAGUAGAUGUUGCAUGACAUUUGCCUAAAAGGUGCAAUUGCAUCACUACCAGAUGGACCUGCGUUGUAUUAGCUAGUUGGUGGGGUAACGGCUCACCAAGGCGACGAUACAUAGCCGACCUGAGAGGGUGAUCGGCCACACUGGGACUGAGACACGGCCCAGACUCCUACGGGAGGCAGCAGUAGGGAAUCUUCGGCAAUGGACGGAAGUCUGACCGAGCAACGCCGCGUGAGUGAAGAAGGGUGUCGGAUCGUAAAGCUCUGUUGUAAGAGAAGAACGAGUGUGAGAGUGGAAAGUUCACACUGUGACGGUAUCUUACCAGAAAGGGACGGCUAACUACGUG
RNAcentral lists this ribosomal RNA (495 nucleotides) under uncultured bacterium. Its description in RNAcentral is "partial 16S ribosomal RNA". It matches the Rfam family "Bacterial small subunit ribosomal RNA", at positions 28 to 507 of the family's 1533-position model. The record is from RNAcentral.